This 246-nucleotide unclassified non-coding RNA is filed under the name Tricellula proliferata. RNAcentral describes it as "Articulospora proliferata partial internal transcribed spacer region". The stretch from base 1 to 46 matches the Rfam family "Eukaryotic small subunit ribosomal RNA", at positions 1786 to 1831 of the family's 1831-position model. RNAcentral also lists the same sequence under 1 other name. The record is from RNAcentral. Lineage: Eukaryota; Fungi; Ascomycota; Leotiomycetes; Helotiales; Calloriaceae.
AAGUCGUAACAAGGUUUCCGUAGGUGAACCUGCGGAAGGAUCAUUACCGAAGUACAGGCCCUGAAAAGGGCUAAACUUCCACCCUUUGUUAACUACACUUUGUUGCUUUGGCGCGCCCGCCCCCCGGGGCCACCGGCUUCGGCUGGUGAGCGCGCGCCAGAGGACCCCAAACCCAAACCUUUUUAGUGUCGUCUGAGAACAAGUUUAAAAUUAUUAAAACUUUCAACAACGGAUCUCUUGGCUCUG